AUCUAGGACGUCCAACUUAACUUGGAGUCCGAACUCUCACAUUCUAACCCUGUGCAUCUGUUUCAAAAUUGGCUAGUAGCUCUUCGGAGCGAACCACCAUUUUUCACUUAUACAAACACAAAGUCUAUGAAUGUAAACAAAUUUAUAACAAAACAAAACUUUCAACAACGGAUCUCUUGGCUCUCGCAUCGAUGAAGAACGCAGCGAAAUGCGAUACGUAAUGUGAAUUGCAGAAUUCAGUGAAUCAUCGAAUCUUUGAACGCACCUUGCGCUCCUUGGUAUUCCGAGGAGCAUGCCUGUUUGAGUGUCAUGAAAUCUUCAACCCACCUCUUUCUUAGUGAAUCUGGUGGUGCUUGGUUUCUGAGCGCUGCUCUGCUUCGGCUUAGCUCGUUCGUAAUGCAUUAGCAUCCGCAACCGAAACUUCGGAUUGACUUGGCGUAAUAGACUAUUCGCUGAGGAUUCCAGACUUGUUCUGGAGCCGAGUUGGGUUAAAGGAAGCUUCUAAUCCUAAAGUCUAUUUUUUGAUUAGAUCUCAAAUCAGGUAGGACUACCCGCUGAACUUAAGCAUAUCAAUAAGCGGAGGAA
This 585-nucleotide ribosomal RNA is filed under the name Rhodotorula sp. ROV10Q4FRB-01. RNAcentral's name for it is "eukaryotic LSU rRNA". The stretch from base 157 to 310 matches the Rfam family "5.8S ribosomal RNA". Lineage: Eukaryota; Fungi; Basidiomycota; Microbotryomycetes; Sporidiobolales; Sporidiobolaceae. The record is from RNAcentral.